UUUUACUGCCGCCAUACUCCUAUUCAAUUUGCAUGAUAACUUGACCUUGUGAGUAUUCUUGUCUUCAUCUGUCAUCACCUCUGUGGAGUCUAUAUCAUCAUAGGUCCCAAUAAACAUGAGCGGAUCAGAAAUGGCAUUUCCACUGAGUAGAAGUCGUGGGUUGUGGGUUGCACUGUGUAGAAUGAGGUGAAAGUAUAUAUGCCUCAAUUUUUGUAAAGCAUACUGGUUUGAACUCUCUGCUACAAGAUAUUACAUCUCAGUAAUAAUUAUGUUUGUAUACUUGUGUUAUAUUUAAAAAUACUUGUGUUAUUGUUAGUAUAUUUUCUGGAAUUAGUAAUGAAAUGUACAUGCAUUUUUUGUAUGAUUUCGGAAUACACUUAGCUUUGAUUA
Non-coding RNA from Salvia hispanica, 390 nucleotides. NCBI's taxonomy places the organism in Eukaryota, Viridiplantae, Streptophyta, Magnoliopsida, Lamiales, Lamiaceae. The record is from RefSeq and is a predicted model, not a curated record.